GUGCUUGCUUCGGCAGCACAUAUACUAAAAUUGGAACAAUACAGAGAAGAUUGGCAUAGCCCCUGUGCAAAGGUAACACGUUAAUUCAUGAAGUGUUCCACACUUUU
Molecule: small nuclear RNA, 107 nt
Organism: Rhinolophus ferrumequinum (greater horseshoe bat)
Lineage: Eukaryota; Metazoa; Chordata; Mammalia; Chiroptera; Rhinolophidae
Source: Ensembl